Musa acuminata subsp. malaccensis (wild Malaysian banana) is the source of this 131-nucleotide non-coding RNA. NCBI's taxonomy places the organism in Eukaryota, Viridiplantae, Streptophyta, Magnoliopsida, Zingiberales, Musaceae. The record is from Rfam.
GUUGCUUCCGAUCUGGAAGAGUGGCCUCCUUUAGGUCAUUCUGUAGAGGAAGCAUAUAUAUGUGAUAUGGCCAGUGUUAAACAGCAUGUUGUUCAGUAAUAGCAUCAUGUUACCUGUCUUCUGGUAAACUA